This 490-nucleotide ribosomal RNA is filed under the name uncultured bacterium. Its description in RNAcentral is "partial 16S ribosomal RNA". It matches the Rfam family "Bacterial small subunit ribosomal RNA", at positions 30 to 507 of the family's 1533-position model. The record is from RNAcentral.
AUUGAACGCUGGCGGCAGGCCUAACACAUGCAAGUCGAACGGUAACAGGAAGCAUCUUGCUGCUUUGCUGACGAGUGGCGGACGGGUGAGUAAUGUCUGUGAAACUGCCCGAUGGAGGGGGAUAACUACUGGAAACGGUAGCUAAUACCGCAUAACGUCGCAAGACCAAAGAGGGGGACCUUAGGGCCUCUUGCCAUCGGAUGUGCCCAGAUGGGAUUAGCUAGUAGGUGGGGUAACGGCUCACCUAGGCGACGAUCCCUAGCUGGUCUGAGAGGAUGACAAGCGCCCCUGGAACGGAGCCAAGGUCCAGACUCCUACGGGAGGCAGCAGUGGGGAAUAGUGCACAAGGGGCGCAAGCCUGAUGCAGCCAUGCCGAGUGGAUGAAGAAGGGCUUCGGGUUGUAAAGUACUUUCAGCGGGGAGGAAGGGAGUAAAGUUAAUACCGUUGCUCAUUGACGUUACCCGCAGAAGAAGGACCGGCUAACUCCGUG